This 391-nucleotide ribosomal RNA is filed under the name uncultured bacterium. RNAcentral's name for it is "bacterial SSU rRNA". It matches the Rfam family "Bacterial small subunit ribosomal RNA", at positions 505 to 898 of the family's 1533-position model. The record is from RNAcentral.
GUGCCAGCCGCCGCGGUAAUACGUAGGACCCGAGCGUUGUCCGGAAUUACUGGGUGUAAAGGGCGUGUAGGUGGACCUCUCAGUCGGUGGUGAAAUCCUGCGGCUCAACCGCAGAACUGCCGCCGAUACUGGAGGUCUUGAGUACGGCAGAGGGAGAUGGAAUUCAUGGUGUAGCGGUGAAAUGUGUAGAUAUCAUGAAGAACACCGGUUGCGAAGGCGGUCUCCUGGUCCGUUACUGACACUGAGGCGCGAAAGCGUGGGGAGCAAACAGGAUUAGAUACCCUGGUAGUCCACGCCUUAAACGAUGGGUACUAGGUGCUGGGCCGCAAGGUUCAGUGCCAAAGCUAACGCAUUAAGUACCCCACCUGGGGAGUACGAUCGCAAGGUUGAA